This 1082-nucleotide ribosomal RNA is filed under the name Vreelandella neptunia. Its description in RNAcentral is "bacterial SSU rRNA". It matches the Rfam family "Bacterial small subunit ribosomal RNA", at positions 237 to 1310 of the family's 1533-position model. Lineage: Bacteria; Pseudomonadati; Pseudomonadota; Gammaproteobacteria; Oceanospirillales; Halomonadaceae. The record is from RNAcentral.
CGGAUUAGCUAGUUGGUGAGGUAAAGGCUUACCCAAGGCAACGAUCCGUAGCUGGUCUGAGAGGAUGAUCAGCCACAUCGGGACUGAGACACGGCCCGAACUCCUACGGGAGGCAGCAGUGGGGAAUAUUGGACAAUGGGGGCAACCCUGAUCCAGCCAUGCCGCGUGUGUGAAGAAGGCCCUCGGGUUGUAAAGCACUUUCAGCGAGGAAGAACGCCUAGCGGUUAAUACCCGUUAGGAAAGACAUCACUCGCAGAAGAAGCACCGGCUAACUCCGUGCCAGCAGCCGCGGUAAUACGGAGGGUGCAAGCGUUAAUCGGAAUUACUGGGCGUAAAGCGCGCGUAGGUGGCUUGAUAAGCCGGUUGUGAAAGCCCCGGGCUCAACCUGGGAACGGCAUCCGGAACUGUCAGGCUAGAGUGCAGGAGAGGAAGGUAGAAUUCCCGGUGUAGCGGUGAAAUGCGUAGAGAUCGGGAGGAAUACCAGUGGCGAAGGCGGCCUUCUGGACUGACACUGACACUGAGGUGCGAAAGCGUGGGUAGCAAACAGGAUUAGAUACCCUGGUAGUCCACGCCGUAAACGAUGUCGACCAGCCGUUGGGUGCCUAGAGCACUUUGUGGCGAAGUUAACGCGAUAAGUCGACCGCCUGGGGAGUACGGCCGCAAGGUUAAAACUCAAAUGAAUUGACGGGGGCCCGCUCAAGCGGUGGAGCAUGUGGUUUAAUUCGAUGCAACGCGAAGAACCUUACCUACCCUUGACAUCUACAGAAGCCGGAAGAGAUUCUGGUGUGCCUUCGGGAACUGUAAGACAGGUGCUGCAUGGCUGUCGUCAGCUCGUGUUGUGAAAUGUUGGGUUAAGUCCCGUAACGAGCGCAACCCUUGUCCUUAUUUGCCAGCACGUAAUGGUGGGAACUCUAAGGAGACUGCCGGUGACAAACCGGAGGAAGGUGGGGACGACGUCAAGUCAUCAUGGCCCUUACGGGUAGGGCUACACACGUGCUACAAUGGCCGGUACAAAGGGCUGCGAGCUCGCGAGAGUCAGCGAAUCCCUUAAAGCCGGUCUCAGUUAGUAUCGGAGUGUGCAA